CCCUUAGACGUUCUGGGCCGCACGCGCGCUACACUGACCAGUGCAACAAGCAUCCGUCCUUGGCCGACAGGCCCGGGCAAUCUUUGAACGCUGGUCGUGAUGGGGAUAGACUUUUGCAAUUUUUGGUCUUCAACGAGGAAUUCCUAGUAAACGCAAGUCAUCAACUUGCAUUGAUUGCGUCCCUGCCCUUUGUACACACCGCCCGUCGCACCUACCGAUUGAAUGGUCCGGUGAAGCCUCCGGAUUGGCGCGCACCUCGGUGCCGCCGAGAAGUUGGCUAAACCUUACCAUUUAGAGGAAGGUGAAGUCGUANCA
This 315-nucleotide ribosomal RNA is filed under the name uncultured eukaryote. RNAcentral describes it as "partial 18S ribosomal RNA". It matches the Rfam family "Eukaryotic small subunit ribosomal RNA", at positions 1470 to 1796 of the family's 1831-position model. The record is from RNAcentral.